GGAUGUAUAGUUUAGUGUUAGAGUGCUUGCCUAGCAUGCAAGAGGCCCUGGGUUCAACUCCCAGUAUCA
RNAcentral lists this transfer RNA (69 nucleotides) under Marmota marmota marmota (Alpine marmot). It matches the Rfam family "tRNA". Rfam says of the family: Transfer RNA (tRNA) molecules are approximately 80 nucleotides in length. The record is from Rfam by way of RNAcentral. RNAcentral also lists the same sequence under 2 other names. Lineage: Eukaryota; Metazoa; Chordata; Mammalia; Rodentia; Sciuridae.